This 355-nucleotide unclassified non-coding RNA is filed under the name fungal sp. RNAcentral's name for it is "partial internal transcribed spacer region". The stretch from base 1 to 46 matches the Rfam family "Eukaryotic small subunit ribosomal RNA", at positions 1786 to 1831 of the family's 1831-position model. Lineage: Eukaryota; Fungi. The record is from RNAcentral.
AAGUCGUAACAAGGUUUCCGUAGGUGAACCUGCGGAAGGAUCAUUAACACGUAUCCAACGUUAAAACCCCCCGUGAACCUUUAUUGUGGCACGCCUAUCCGUUAGAAAGUGGCAAUCCCUGGUAAAUCAUCGCCGAACAGUUUUGAUUCAGGGACUUCUGCGUGGGUAGGACAACUGCGCGAGCAAGUGGCCUGGCAUCCCUCUGCUUGUUAGUGUCUGAAAGUGUCACUAGCUCUGUACGGGUGGCGCAAUCACGAUCGCUAGAGGCCAACACGGCCGGCGACCGGGUCAAUGGGCCUCGGCCCCCUAGGCCACCAAACUCGAACAACUGUUAACAAUGGAUAUCUUGGUUCUC